UAAUGUUGAAAAAUUAGCGGAUGACCUGUGGCUGGGGGUGAAAGGCCAAUCAAACCGGGAGAUAGCUGGUUCUCCCCGAAAGCUAUUUAGGUAGCGCCUCGUGAAUUCAUCUCCGGGGGUAGAGCACUGUUUCGGCCAGGGGGCCAUCCCGGCUUACCAAUCCGAUGCAAACUGCGAAUACCGGAGAAUGUUAUCACGGGAGACACACGGCGGGUGCUAACGUCCGUCGUGAAGAGGGAAACAACCCAGACCGCCAGCUAAGGUCCCAAAGUCAUGGUUAAGUGGGAAACGAUGUGGGAAGGCCCAGACAGCCAGGAUGUUGGCUUAGAAGCAGCCAUCAUUUAAAGAAAGCGUAAUAGCUCACUGGUCGAGUCGGCCUGCGCGGAAGAUGUAACGGGGCUAAAC
Molecule: ribosomal RNA, 405 nt
Filed under: Salmonella enterica subsp. houtenae serovar Houten
Lineage: Bacteria; Pseudomonadati; Pseudomonadota; Gammaproteobacteria; Enterobacterales; Enterobacteriaceae
Description: partial 23S ribosomal RNA
Rfam family: Bacterial large subunit ribosomal RNA
Source: RNAcentral